Molecule: ribosomal RNA, 420 nt
Filed under: uncultured bacterium
Lineage: Bacteria
Description: bacterial SSU rRNA
Rfam family: Bacterial small subunit ribosomal RNA
Source: RNAcentral
AGGGAAUCUUCCGCAAUGGACGAAAGUCUGACGGAGCAACGCCGCGUGAACGAUGAAGGUUUUCGGAUCGUAAAGUUCUGUUGUUAGGGAAGGACCACCGGGAUGACCUCCCGGUCUGACGGUACCUAACGAGAAAGCCCCGGCUAACUACGUGCCAACAGCCGCGGUAAUACGUAGGGGGCAAGCGUUGUCCGGAAUUAUUGGGCGUAAAGCGCGCGCAGGCGGCUUCUUAAGUCAGGUGUGAAAGCCCACGGCUCAACCGUGGAGGGCCAUCUGAAACUGGGAAGCUUGAGUGCAGGAGAGGAGAGCGGAAUUCCACGUGUAGCGGUGAAAUGCGUAGAGAUGUGGAGGAACACCCGUGGCGAAGGCGGCUCUCUGGCCUGUAACUGACGCUGAGGCGCGAAAGCGUGGGGAGCAAAC